RNAcentral lists this transfer RNA (49 nucleotides) under Calotriton asper (Pyrenean brook newt). Its description in RNAcentral is "partial tRNA-Leu". Lineage: Eukaryota; Metazoa; Chordata; Amphibia; Caudata; Salamandridae. The record is from RNAcentral.
CUUUUAAAGGAUAAUAGUUAUCCAUUGGUCUUAGGAACCAAAUACUCCU